This 298-nucleotide ribosomal RNA is filed under the name uncultured bacterium. RNAcentral's name for it is "partial 16S ribosomal RNA". It matches the Rfam family "Bacterial small subunit ribosomal RNA", at positions 334 to 629 of the family's 1533-position model. The record is from RNAcentral.
UUGUCCAACGGGGGGCAGCAGUGAGGAAUAUUGGUCAAUGGGCGCGAGCCUGAACCAGCCAAGUCGCGUGAGGGAGGACGGCCCUACGGGUUGUAAACCUCUUUUGCCGGGGAGCAAGCCUGAGCACGUGUGCCCAGGCGGAGAGUACCCGGAGAAAAAGCAUCGGCUAACUCCGUGCCAGCAGCCGCGGUAAUACGGAGGAUGCGAGCGUUAUCCGGAUUUAUUGGGUUUAAAGGGUGCGCAGGCGGGCUGUUAAGCCGGCGGUAAAAAUUCGGGGCUCAACCCUUUCGAGCCGUCG